CAGAUUCAAGGAAGAUCUGAGAGAGACUCACUGAUUUGGACUUGCACUGGCGUGUCUCGGAUGGCUUGGCUAGGAUGCCCGCAUAAUAGGGAUUUCCGAGCAACUGAAAGAUUGAACUGUAGUUCUCGCACGGAUAUUUGUUGAUCAGCGUCUUUCCCAUUGUAGCUCUACUAUAUUUGUGGGGUCUCUUGAUACGGAUGAUGUAUGAAUUGCCACCAGCAGUCGUCUGGGGCCGGGGCGCCGAGUGCGUGUUCUCUGACAAGGUGCUCUUGGCCUAUCCCCACUGGGAAUGGCAUGGAGCAGGACAAUAAGGUCUAUGUGUUGUUGCAGCCGGUUCCAAAUUUGUAGGUUCAUAAUUGCUUGAUAAGGCUGAAUGGUCUACUCAAGCUUCUGCAAUACGUCAUUUUUUUUCUACAAGUGAGUCCACUUUGUUGCUUGCUGCAAUCGCUUGUGAGUCAAUGUGUUUGGUGUAGGUUAAAUGGAGGUCAACUACUAUAUCAAAGGUAAGACCUUAUUUAGUUUCAGAGAUAUAAUUCCAUUUUCUGAUGGAUGGGUUAGCACAAGUAGACAAAUCGUACUGCUUACUGAGUGUACCUGAUUGAGUGAAUUUCGCGCUUUCAUAAAAUUUAUUUCUUAGCCUAUAAGGUGCCGAGGUGGUUUAUUAUGUGCUGAAUUUGAAUACCAUGCGUAGCAUAUAUGAAAAUUACACCAUAAUGACAUGCUGUGUUUUCGUAGUAACAAAUGGGCCACUUUCUGGACUAAUUGGCAGGUUAGCAAGUUAUUUGAUUAUCUUAUUUCCUCUAGAUUGUAACAUUUUUUGUUGUGUAAUAUUAUCAUGGUAAUAUUUUAGAUAUCAUGUUUGUUAAGCUCCAAAUAGAACAUAUUUGGAUGUGUAGUUGUAGGCUCUCUUCUUUGUGAGUUGUGUGAUGGAACAUAUGAGCACAUUUAUAACGUUUCUCAUCUAAAACAAGUCAUCUGUAAUCUAUGAUCUUCUAUUGAUUUUUUAUCUUUGUGUUCAAGGGGAUGAGAAUAGUUCAAGGGCCUGAUGAUUUGGUG
This is a long non-coding RNA of Lolium rigidum, 1056 nucleotides long. RefSeq lists it as uncharacterized. The record is from RefSeq and is a predicted model, not a curated record. The transcript is spliced from 4 exons. Lineage: Eukaryota; Viridiplantae; Streptophyta; Magnoliopsida; Poales; Poaceae.